GAUGAACGCUGGCGGCGUGCUUAACACAUGCAAGUCGAACGAUGAAGCCCAGCUUGCUGGGUGGAUUAGUGGCGAACGGGUGAGUAACACGUGAGUAACCUGCCCUUAACUCUGGGAUAAGCCUGGGAAACUGGGUCUAAUACCGGAUAGGAGCGUCCACCGCAUGGUGGGUGUUGGAAAGAUUUAUCGGUUUUGGAUGGACUCGCGGCCUAUCAGCUUGUUGGUGAGGUAAUGGCUCACCAAGGCGACGACGGGUAGCCGGCCUGAGAGGGUGACCGGCCACACUGGGACUGAGACACGGCCCAGACUCCUACGGGAGGCAGCAGUGGGGAAUAUUGCACAAUGGGAGCAAGCCUGAUGCAGCGACGCCGCGUGAGGGAUGACGGCCUUCGGGUUGUAAACCUCUUUCAGUAGGGAAGAAGCGAAAGUGACGGUACCUGCAGAAGAAGCACCGGCUAACUACGUG
RNAcentral lists this ribosomal RNA (466 nucleotides) under uncultured bacterium. RNAcentral describes it as "partial 16S ribosomal RNA". It matches the Rfam family "Bacterial small subunit ribosomal RNA", at positions 28 to 507 of the family's 1533-position model. The record is from RNAcentral.